This 4177-nucleotide long non-coding RNA is filed under the name Brassica rapa (field mustard). Its description in RNAcentral is "long non-coding RNA (BRAP_LNC009004)". Lineage: Eukaryota; Viridiplantae; Streptophyta; Magnoliopsida; Brassicales; Brassicaceae. The record is from RNAcentral.
AAAGAAGUGAAGUGAGUCGAUCAAUUCCAUCUCUAGGUCGUGGUUCAAGAUUGAGCUCCAUUACGGGCGUCCGUGGGUCGAUGCACUGGACAGCACGUGCGGUACGGUCAGGGUGAUCGGAUGGGACGAUACGGACGGUCUGAUCAGCACGAUCCAAUGGGAAAUUAUGAUCAUCAUGGACGGAAUGAUCAGAUAGACUUUCACAGGCAGCAAGACUGGCAUGAUCCGACAUGAUAACCUCGGUUUGGUCGAGCUGGUUGACAAGAAAGCCACCUUGGGCCGUAUCCAUGAUUCGAGCCGGUCGAUGCUCGAUCUGGGUCACAUCAUACUCUCCCUCUUCAAAAGGAUUUGUCCUCAAAUCCAUUUUACCUGAAUCAAAAUAAAAUGACUCAGACAAAAAGAAUUUUAAAAACAUGUAAAAUUUAAUGAAGGAUAAAUUUGGAGAGAAACUUCCUUGGAGUUUUGAACUUGUUUCCCUCAAGUAUUUCCAGUUCCAUGUUCCAAGAUCACAAGUGUUGUGUCGACCUUCUCUACUUGCUUCCAUCUUUGGUUCAUGGAGGAUCGGUUUUGGCUCAGGCCGCUUCUUUCUGGGGCAUGAAUCUCCUUUAGAAAUCUGGUACUCGCGGAUAGAUGGACUGAAGAACCUCCGGUUUGGAAAAUUCAUAACUUCUUCAUCCGUGAAGAUUUUCAUGAUUCCAAGCCUCAGUGAAUCCUUUUUGAGUUGGCUUUCCAAAGAAAUUGGAUUCAUGACAAAAGAUUUUCCGAAAUUCGAGAUAUCCGUUUUGGACUGAACCCCUGUCGCUGGCAUCUCCAAGGUAGCCGGUUUGGACAACAAAGCUUCUCCAAAUCUCAGGCUGUUGGGCACGGUCAAUGCUUUCAAUUCUUAGAGGCUGAACCUGUGUUUCCUGUAUACUCAAAAUAAACACUAAAAGACCAGGAUCAAAUGUGCAAGAGAGAUACUUGUUCAAAUCAAAAAUUAAGAUAUCAUUUCCAAGAACAAGUAGCACACUUUUCAGCCUGUCAAGAUGCAAAUCAAAGUAGACAUUACAGACAAGAAUCUUAUCAAGAUAUGCAACAACAUUAAUCAUUUCCAAAACGUGCAUAUCACAUCUGAACACACAAGCUUAAGUUCAGAUUGAGAAACAACUAUCAAAGACUCAAGACAUUUUUCAAAGAAUGUGUUGUAGACCAAUAUAUCAUCAACACUUGAAUCAACAAAAUUCUCACAAGAUGAUCUCAGAAAAUUCCAAGUUUUAUCAUUUUCAAAACUCAAGAGAUCAGGCUGCAAAACAGAAUCACAAAAAUCAAGUUCACAAAAACCAGUUUCAGUUUCAAGUGAAUUCUGUUCCAGCAUCUUUUUAAUUAAGAAAUCGUCCAAGUCCAGAGAAGAUGCAAACAAAUCAUCAGUGAUCAGUCUAUGCCUAGAAGAGUUCAGAUCAAAGCUAUUUUCUUUGAAAACAAACGAAUCAAAAAAUUUUGUAGCACAAAAAUCAGUUUGUUUCAAAUCAAGCUCAAGAUACUUUUCAAAAUGAUCAAAAACUUUGCUUUGUUCCAGGGACUGAUCAAAGCUCAAAAUAAUUUCAGAACUGAUGCCAAGGUCAGUUUGAAAACGUUGCUGAUCAAGAAAUUUAUCAGGUUCAAAGAUUUUAAAAGAAUUAAUCAUGUUUCCAAAAACAGAUUUUGAAAAACAAUUUUCUUUUAUCUUAUCAAGACCAAAACGAAUCACAUCAAGAGAACUGAUCUUAUCAAACAUGUCAGGCAGAGAAAUAACUAAUUCAGAUUUCUCACAGUGCUCUUGAAGAUCAGGAAGAAAAGGGGCAGGAGAUGAAGGAGCAGUAGUUGUGCCAGAAUCAAAGCAAAGAUGGCUCUCCAUAAAGGUGGAUAUGAUGCUUGUUGCUUCUUCGUCAAAGACUGGAUCAGGUUCGUCCUCCUCAUCAAAGAUAGGACCUAGAUCAUCAUCCAAACAUAUCCUAGUGUCAAGACAUGGGCACUGAUGUGGAAAAUCCAGUGGCUCUUCCUCAAAAACCUGUGGAGACAAAACAAGACUACUCGGAAGCUCCGUUUGCAAAACAGUUAGUUCUACAAUAGCUUGUUCAUUAUCAAGAUUAAACUCAGUUUCAAGAGAAGGAAGAUCACAAUCUUUUUCACAAAACAUCAAGCUUUCAAUUAGCUCUUCAUCAGAUUCAUCAAAAACGGGUAGAGAAUCUGAAAAAUCUUUAAGUUCUUCAAAAUGGUUUCCAGAUUCACCUUGGACUUUCUUACUGAUGAACAAGGAUGGCUCAGCUACUGGGGCACGUGUGGAUGUGCUCUUCUUUUGGCUCUUGCUGACGUCCUUGAGGGCUUUGUCCACACUCUUCACAAAGUUAUCACAAAAUUGUUGGACAUCAAACUGAAGCAAUCGCCUUCUUGGAUCAGAUUCACCUUUGGAUGUAUUGACAUGCUCUUUGCUCCACCUGUUUGGUUUCUCCUGCACAUCAACAAACUCAUCAAAAGUAUUCAAAGCAUAUUUAAAGGAGGUUUGAGAGACAGAAAGUCGUGGGUGCUUCUCCUUGUUACUUUUCCUUUGAAGACCAAACAUCAUAACCUGAAAAUCUCAACACAAAAGUUAGGAAAUAAAGCUUCACUCUCUCAAGUGUUUUAUUCUCACCUACUCAAGUGUUUCUCUCAGAUUUAGGUGAUCACACACAAGUUUUUACUCAAUGUUCUAAGAGAACAAAUCAAAGAAUCCCAAUGGGCAAAUCCAAGCAAACAAGGGAAUUUUUCAAGAUAGAAAAAUAAGAGAUUUUUUUGAUUUUUGAAAUCCGUUUUAACCACCUCAAAGGCUGGAUUUCUCCUCAGCCAGCAGGCUUUCUCUUCCACCACCAAUCCCCAAAUGAAACUUUCGAUUUCUAUUUUUUUUUUUUUUUUUUUUUUAAAGUAGAUUUUUUUUUUUUUUUUUUUUUGAUAUGGUGGAUGGUAAUGAGUGGCCCGGAUUCAAGAAAGGUAGAAGAAGAAGUGUUUAAAGAAGAUGGAGAGAUGAGAAGAUGGGAUGAUAAUAGAGUUACCGGAAGAGUGGCUCUGAUACCACUUGAUAGAACCAAAAUAAGGAUCACUCUUUCGGUAAGGUUGAUAUGAACUCAGAUCCGAGAGGAUUGAGAACUGAUGGUAUGAACGGUGACACUAAGGGUUGCGGAAUAGCCCAAAGAUACUACCAGACUUCGAUCGUUGCCGGAUGUGACGCACCGGUCCAACAAAAGAAGGAUCGAAACUUGGAGAUAACCUCACCAAGAAACUAAGAAAUGUUCUAACAAAGAACAAAGAGAUAAACUCAUAAAAGGGGAAAAACAAUCUAUAUUAUUUUGUGGCUUAUGAGCCAUAUAUAUAGGAUUUGUAGUCAAAGAAAGCCAUAAACAAUUAUGGGAAAUACAAACCUAGGAAAAGACAACAUUGACUAGAAAAUAAUAAAGGGAGUCAAAGUUGGUGAAAUUGAUGAAGACUGGUCAAAGUGACUUCUCCUCUUCUGUCCAGGUUCAUUCUGGUCGUGCUGGUACUUGGUGUAAGGAUCAGGGCGUGAUCAGGACGAUCCACACGGCCUGUCGGCUGAUUAACACGAACGGACUGAACUAUCGGACGAUCUGCUGAACCAAGUUGUGUACUGUUGUGAAACAAGUCUUUGGACAGCUCAAGUAUCCAUGCCUUAGUGAAAUAUGACAGAUAAAAAUCCAUCAUAGGGUCGGACACUGAAGCAAGAACUUUAGGACAGCCUUCGGGACACGCAUGACGCACCAACAAGGCCAUAAGAGAAAAUCUGUGAACAUCUUCGGAUUCUUCUCGUCCCAAGUUGAAUCUGGCUCGACUAUCAGUCUUAGAAUGUUGAAUUGGCUGGGAAAGAAGUGAAGUGAGUCGAUCAAUUCCAUCUCUAGGUCGUGGUUCAAGAUUGAGCUCCAUUACGGGCGUCCGUGGGUCGAUGCACUGGACAGCACGUGCGGUACGGUCAGGGUGAUCGGAUGGGACGAUACGGACGGUCUGAUCAGCACGAUCCAAUGGGAAAUUAUGAUCAUCAUGGACGGAAUGAUCAGAUAGACUUUCACAGGCAGCAAGACUGGCAUGAUCCGACAUGAUAACCUCGGUUUGGUCGAGCUGGUUGACAAGAACGCCACCUUGGGCCGUAUCCAUGAUUCGAGCCGGUCGAUGCUCG